GAAGAAUUAGUGUUUGUUUUGAUAUCUAAAUUCCUAAAUUAAAAAACCCAAACAUUGAUUAAUAUUUUCUACUAACAACCACUUCGAAAAAGAUUUUGUUAAGUGUUUUGCAGGGUUAUAUCUCAAGAAUCAAAUUGGUUAAAAUCAAACAUCUGAAGAUGUCAUGAAGUAUCAAAGAUCAGAAUAUAAGUUACAAGUCUAUGAUGAAAUGGUCUUCUAUAUGAGUCGGAACACCUUCAUGUUGAC
RNAcentral lists this long non-coding RNA (246 nucleotides) under Lathyrus oleraceus (garden pea). RNAcentral's name for it is "Pisum sativum (pea) long non-coding RNA (PSAT_LNC015598)". The record is from RNAcentral. Lineage: Eukaryota; Viridiplantae; Streptophyta; Magnoliopsida; Fabales; Fabaceae.